Molecule: small nucleolar RNA, 143 nt
Organism: Rattus norvegicus (Norway rat)
Lineage: Eukaryota; Metazoa; Chordata; Mammalia; Rodentia; Muridae
Product: small nucleolar RNA SNORA48
Source: Ensembl
AAAUCAGAACUUGGGCAAAGAGGCACCUUGCUGCUGAUGUUGUUCUUAUAUUAGUCAUGGGCAGAGCAGUUGGCAGUCCUUUGUUCAUCCUUGCCUGAUGCCUGGCUUAGUGGUCAAAGCUGUUUUAUGCCUAGGACACAUAA